Long non-coding RNA from Bubalus bubalis (water buffalo), 2842 nucleotides. RefSeq lists it as uncharacterized. The transcript is spliced from 10 exons. NCBI's taxonomy places the organism in Eukaryota, Metazoa, Chordata, Mammalia, Artiodactyla, Bovidae. The record is from RefSeq and is a predicted model, not a curated record.
CUUGCCGGUAGGGAAGGGAGACGAGGCACGUGAUUCCUGACGCGCGUAGGCCGGUGGGGCGGGGCGGGAAGCGCUGGCGGUGCCGGCAGAUGGGCGCCCUCUCCCGUCUCUCAGAGACCACUCAGUCCAGUCAAGUCUGCAAGUCGGUUAUCUUGGGGGCUCUGGCGGUCGAAGUGGCGUUAACUCGCGUUGGUGCGAGAGGUCGCGACGCUUUUCAUUAUACGCUUCUCUGUUUCUGGGCUGAGGGCUCAGAGCCAGAGUGCUGGCUUGUGUCUUUCCUAGCCGUCCCGCCUGCCCCGAGUGUUGUGGAGAGUUUCUGAGAGAGAGCCCCUGAGAAGGGGAGCGGGCGCUUUCGCGGGCUCACUCGGAGGGGCUGGUUAGGGAGAGGAGCCGCGCGGGCCGGGGCGGCGGAGAAGCCGGACCGAGGUCGUCAGUGGACGCCGCCACCCCUCGGUCGGACCUCGAAGGGGACCUGCGCGCACACCUGGUGUGCGGGGAGGGAAUGAGGACAGCGCCACCCUUUGGAUUUAGAGAGAGAGGCGGAAACAAGGCAAAUGAGUUAGAUCUGCUGGUUGAUAAUCGGCGUCUUCUCUGGUCUUCGAGGGAGGCUCCGCGUUCCCUGUUUUGAGGCCCUAGGUGUAAAGAAGCUGGUUGUUAUGGUGAAGGUUUUCUUUAGCUUGGCUGCCCUCGCUUGAGAGAGGGAUUUUCGAAAGAGUGUCCGUUAACUUCACCACAUCUUGAAAAGUAGUAAACUGGUUUGUACAGGGCAGUGAAGUCAGAAGGGAAUAGGUAAUUUUAUGUAACAAUUGAGGAUUGCAUUAGUGGGCUGCCGCUUCAGAGCCUUAACUAUGAUCUUGAAACAGCCUAGUUUUCUUGGAAUUAACUUCACGAAACUCUUCUACAAGAUAUUUUUAGCUCUUUGAGGGCAAAAUUCUCCGUGAUGCUUUGAUGCCUUUUGGUGUCUUGUUGCCUGUUAUACUGAGUUGAUACCUCUGAGUUAUGUGUCUUUCCGUAGCUGUAAAAACAACAAAAAACCAACAACAAAAAAAUGCGUUCCUUCGUGGUAGAUCACGUCUCUGAGUCUCUUGUCUGCAAGAGAUUUUUCUAUGUAAUUCUUCUUAUAAUAAUUUUAUGAAUGAAUUAAUGAGCAGUAAUGGAAACAGCAAUGAAUUAGGAAGUUGAGACUUGGAUUUGAAUUUUUUAUUUUUUAAAUUCAUUGAAAUAUUUUGAAGUGGACCAUGGGUAUCUGAAUCUCCCACUUCUUAUAACUCUAGUACCUGAAGUUCUAAUAAACCUGGACAUUUAAUGCUAAUGGAUUGAUGAGGUUGGUGAAGUCUCCAUAAAACAAAGUAAUCUGUGAGAAAUUUGUUGCUGGCCAAAUCUCUUGCUGGCCAAUGAUCAACUCUUUCCAAGCUGAGUUUUCUUUACUGUUGCAGGACUAUCAUGAAGAUGCAUUGAAAGUUACACACACUGGAGGAGUGUGAUAUCCCUUUCAGUUGGUGAUCUUCCUGUCAUGAAAGUUGCUUGCCAGCUUUACUUUUGAAUGAACACAGUAAACACCAAGGUGAAAAUAUCAAUGAAAAAAAUCUACUCUCCAUACUAUGUAUAUUUCCCUGUAUGUUCUGAACCUGCUUAUAGCCACCUACCACAGUAGUCUGUAGUUUCUGUUGCCAAACUAUUAAAAGUCUUAGUUAUAGUCAUAUUUUUUUUUCUACUGUUCUACCUUGACUUUCCCUUCAGCCCUUCUCAGGAUUGAGAUAUGGAAAGAUCCUUCUGUCCUUUACCACACAGUUCCUUUGUCAGGAAUUCCAGGAUUUCCUCAAAGUUUGCAAGUAUGGAAUAUGAAUAUGAAUACUCAUUCACUGAGUAUGUAAAACUCCAAUACUUUGGCCACCUGAUGUGAAGAACUGACUCAUUGGAAAAGACCCUGAUGCUGGGAAAGAUUGAAGGCAGGAGGAGAAAGGGACGACAGAGGAGGAGAUGGUUGGAUGGCAUCACCGACUCAGUGGACAGGUAAGAAGAAGAGGUUCCAGGGAAGAAAACUGAGAACUGAUUGAGAAGUAUGAAGAGGAUGAAGUGCAGAAGAUGGGGAGAAGCAUGUUCAGUCGAGUGUGAUAAUCCCUAUUGCCCAAAAUGUCAAGAGUUGAGUCGGAGUAACUGAAGCUGACAAGUCUGUUGAUGAUUGGUAAUCUGGGGGAGGAAAGCAGUAUCAAGAUACAAGUCUGAGAAAACUCAGGUCUCAAGAAAUUGUGCCAUCAAAGGGAGAAGAUAACUGUGGCAGCAAGUAAAAUCUUUUAUGAAGAUUGAUGGUGAAGGCUAAUUGAAAAUGCCAGUGUUGGAACCCCACCCCCCUCCUCCUUCCCAUUCAUCCUGAGCCCAAGAGAUCUCCAUAAAAUUGACCUGGAUACCUUUCAUUCAAGGUUCUGACACCUAGUAGAUGCUCAUGAAUAUUUGUUGAAUGAAGGACUGAAGAUAGAAGAGAGACAGAUGAAAUGAGAUCAUGAGGGUCUCACAAACACGUGAAUCAGCAGUGGAGAUACUACUUUCUGCAGUUGUUAUUUCUGGUAUCUUAAGAAUGUUUUUUAUUUCUCCAGUUUCCAAUUUUUAAAAUUCUCUUCAUUCAAAUAACUGUGUGAUUGCUGCCUCCUCACUGUAACCCUACUGAUAUAAUUGUCUUCUUUAAUUUUUAAUUCAUGGACAAUUUAGGAUUAUAUCUUGAUCACAUGCAAUAUGCAUUUAUUAUAUGGUGUUAUUAUUUAAUGUAUGACAUAUUUUCCCAAGAAUUAAUUAUAAAAUAAAUAUUAUAGAUAGAAAUAAAAAUAAAGUUUAGUUUUAUGAAAAA